This 477-nucleotide ribosomal RNA is filed under the name Debaryomyces hansenii. RNAcentral describes it as "LSU rRNA". It matches the Rfam family "Eukaryotic large subunit ribosomal RNA", at positions 96 to 577 of the family's 3401-position model. Lineage: Eukaryota; Fungi; Ascomycota; Pichiomycetes; Serinales; Debaryomycetaceae. The record is from RNAcentral.
AAGCGGCAAUAAGCUCAAAUUUGAAAUCUGGCACCUUCGGUGUCCGAGUUGUAAUUUGAAGAAGGUAACUUUGGAGUUGGCUCUUGACUAUGUUCCUUGGAACAGGACGUCACAGAGGGUGAGAAUCCCGUGCGAUGAGAUGCCCAAUUCUAUGUAAAGUGCUUUCGAAGAGUCGAGUUGUUUGGGAAUGCAGCUCUAAGUGGGUGGUAAAUUCCAUCUAAAGCUAAAUAUUGGCGAGAGACCGAUAGCGAACAAGUACAGUGAUGGAAAGAUGAAAAGAACUUUGAAAAGAGAGUGAAAAAGUACGUGAAAUUGUUGAAAGGGAAGGGCUUGAGAUCAGACUUGGUAUUUUGCGAUCCUUUCCUUCUUGGUUGGGUUCCUCGCAGCUUACUGGGCCAGCAUCGGUUUGGAUGGUAGGAUAAUGACCAAGGAAUGUGGCUCUACUUCGGUGGAGUGUUAUAGCCUUGGUUGAUACUG